This is a long non-coding RNA of Bos taurus (domestic cattle), 1603 nucleotides long. The record is from Ensembl. NCBI's taxonomy places the organism in Eukaryota, Metazoa, Chordata, Mammalia, Artiodactyla, Bovidae.
AGGUGGCUGCGGGGAGUUUAGAGGCUGGGGGAAGACAUGAGGAACCCUCACCUAAAUGGAGCCAGGCGACCACGGCACCAGGAAGAGAGAGCUGCUGCAGUUAUUCCUUAGGUCCUGGCAUUGCACACACAGCCUGACUAGCCUGCAGCCCCAUAAGAACUCUACAGUGGUCAUGUAUGGAUGUGAGAGUUGGACCAUAAAGAAAGCUGAGCGCCGAAGAAUUGAUGCUUUUGAACUAUGGUGUUGGAGAAGACUCUUGAGAGUCCCUUGGACUGCAAGGAGAUCCAACCAGUCAAUCCUAAAGGAAAUCAGUCCUGAAUAUUCAUUGCAAGGACUGAUGCUGAAGCUGAAGCUCCAGUACUUUGGCCACCUGAUUCGAAGAACUGACUCAUUGGAAAAGAUCCUAAUGCUGGGAAAGAUCAAAGGCGGGAGGAGAAGGGGAUAACAGAGGAUGAGAUGGUUGGAUGGCAUCACUGACUCAAUGGACAUGAGUUUGAGUAGGCUCCAGGAGUUGGUGAUGGACAAGGAGGCCUGGCGUGCUGCAGUCCAUGGAGUCACAAAGAGUCGGACAUGACUGAGCGACUGAACUGAACUGAGGGGACCGGUGAUGGCCCAAGGGGUCCACCUUGUGUGCCUGCUCCAACUGACCAGUCAUGGCUCCUUGAAGCCCUGUGUGGAGAAGAAUUCUGACUCCCCAUCCUGGCCUGGAGGUGAUGGGCACACUCACGAUUGGUGAUGGCAGUCAUGGUGUGGACCAGAAAGCGGCAGUAGAAUGUGCUUACAUUUCCAUAGUAGACACUCACUGAAGUAUGGCUAUCAGUUUUCCUAUUUCUCUGCUCCUUGGGAGAAGACGUAGGAUUCUGCUGGCCUCGGAAAGGCCAGGAUCCUGCUGGACCAGUGGCUGUUUCCACCAGCACUGCCCAGGUCCCAAAGUCACUGAGCCUGCUGUCCUGGCUCAGCACAGACUUCUUUGGCAGCAAGGAUGCUCCAGCCAGCCCUAUCUUUUAAUCAGCAGACUGCGUCAGCCCUGUCGGGAUUGUUUAAGGUCUUCUUCCUCCCGGGACUUUCUUGCUCUUUUCAUCCUCAAAUGCCAACCUUACCCUCCCUGCCAACAGAUCACACACACACACACACACACAUACACCCUGCCAUGUUCACCACCACGUCCUCAUAGUAAGUUACAGGGAAUUAUUGAUAUUAACUCAAGUUUUUCCACUCCAUAUCACCCCACUAUCCACAUCUCCCAUUGUCGCCUGCCCCAACUCAGGGGGCCUGACGUUAUUCCAGCAACACAUAUCAGAGUUGGAUGAAGGUAGAAGAAGUAGAAAUCACAGCCACAGGCAUCCUAUGGGGCGAGCUGAAGAAGCCUCAGUGAUCACCACGUGGCCCCUGGAGUAACUAGAGGAAGAAGGGAAUAAGAAAUCCUUUGCACACAGAAUGUUCUUUCUAGUUUCACCAGCACGUGGAAGGAACCUUUGCUUAUUCACUUAUUCAAGACAUAUUUACGGAGCACCUCUAUGGGCUGGGUACAGACAGCUGUCUGCCCUGAAAGGGAGACAGCCAAGUAGAAGCCGGUGGGUGCUGAGCAGCUCAGCAGGAGUGC